UAAAAAUAAAAGUAACUGAGCAGCGACGCCGCGUGACGAAGAAUGUUUCGGUAUGUAAAGCUCUAUCAGCAGGGAAGAAAUGACGGGACCUGACUAAGAAGCACCGGCUAAAUACGUGCCAACAGCCGCGGUAAUACGUAUGGUGCAAGCGUUAUCCGGAUUUACUGGGUGUAAAGGGAGCGUAGACGGUUGUGUAAGUCUGAUGUGAAAGCCCGGGGCUCAACCCCGGGACUGCAUUGGAAACUAUGUAACUAGAGUGUCGGAGAGGUAAGCGGAAUUCCUAGUGUAGCGGUGAAAUGCGUAGAUAUUAGGAGGAACACCAGUGGCGAAGGCGGCUUACUGGACGAUCACUGACGUUGAGGCUCGAAAGCGUGGGGAGCAAACAGGAUUAGAUACCCUGGUAGUCCACGCCGUAAACGAUGACUACUAGGUGUCGGGGAGCAAAGCUCUUCGGUGCCGCAGCAAACGCAAUAAGUAGUCCACCUGGGGAGUACGAUCGCAAGAAUGAAACUCAAAGGA
Molecule: ribosomal RNA, 519 nt
Filed under: uncultured bacterium
Lineage: Bacteria
Description: bacterial SSU rRNA
Rfam family: Bacterial small subunit ribosomal RNA
Source: RNAcentral